GUGUCAGCAGCCGCGGUAAUACGAAGGGUGCAAGCGUUACUCGGAAUUACUGGGCGUAAAGCGUGCGUAGGCGGUUCGUUAAGUCUGACGUGAAAUCCCCGGGCUCAACCUGGGACGUGCGUUGGAAACUGGCGAUCUAGAGUACGGUAGAGGGUGGUGGAAUUCCCGGUGUAGCAGUGAAAUGCGUAGAGAUCGGGAGGAACACUCGUGGCGAAGGCGGCCACCUGGACCAGUACUGACGCUGAGGCACGAAAGCGUGGGGAGCAAACAGGAUUAGAUACCCUGGUAGUCC
This 292-nucleotide ribosomal RNA is filed under the name uncultured bacterium. RNAcentral describes it as "partial 16S ribosomal RNA". It matches the Rfam family "Bacterial small subunit ribosomal RNA", at positions 505 to 796 of the family's 1533-position model. The record is from RNAcentral.